Molecule: transfer RNA, 73 nt
Filed under: Ovis aries (sheep)
Lineage: Eukaryota; Metazoa; Chordata; Mammalia; Artiodactyla; Bovidae
Rfam family: tRNA
About the family: Transfer RNA (tRNA) molecules are approximately 80 nucleotides in length. Their secondary structure includes four short double-helical elements and three loops (D, anti-codon, and T loops).
Source: Rfam by way of RNAcentral
UCUCUGGUGGUCCAGUGGUUAAGACUCUGCACUUCCACUGUAGAGUGCACAGGUUCAAUCCCUGGUUAGGGAG